CAGUAGCCACGGUAAUACAGAGGGUGCAAGCGUUAAUCGGAAUUACUGGGCGUAAAGCGCGCGUAGGUGGUUUGUUAAGUUGGAUGUGAAAUCCCCGGGCUCAACCUGGGAACUGCAUCCAAAACUGGCAAGCUAGAGUAUGGUAGAGGGUGGUGGAAUUUCCUGUGUAGCGGUGAAAUGCGUAGAUAUAGGAAGGAACACCAGUGGCGAAGGCGACCACCUGGACUGAUACUGACACUGAGGUGCGAAAGCGUGGGGAGCAAACAGGAUUAGAUACCCCGGUAGUCCCUGUCUCUUAUAC
Molecule: ribosomal RNA, 301 nt
Filed under: uncultured bacterium
Lineage: Bacteria
Description: partial 16S ribosomal RNA
Rfam family: Bacterial small subunit ribosomal RNA
Source: RNAcentral